Molecule: non-coding RNA, 87 nt
Organism: Mycena vulgaris
Lineage: Eukaryota; Fungi; Basidiomycota; Agaricomycetes; Agaricales; Mycenaceae
Source: the annotation of a GenBank genome assembly
GACCUGAUGGCAUAAUUGGUUAGUGUACCUGCUGACCAUAAUAUGCUUGGAAGGCAGGAGAUCCCCGUUUGAUCCGGAGUCGGGUCA